Molecule: ribosomal RNA, 298 nt
Filed under: uncultured Latescibacterota bacterium
Lineage: Bacteria; Pseudomonadati; Candidatus Latescibacterota
Description: uncultured Latescibacteria bacterium partial 16S ribosomal RNA
Rfam family: Bacterial small subunit ribosomal RNA
Source: RNAcentral
UCCCGCAACGAGCGCAACCCUUAUCCCUAGUUGCCAUCAGGUAAAGCUGGGAACUCUGGGGGAGACUGCCGGUGAUAAACCGGAGGAAGCGGGGAUGACGUCAAGUCCUCAUGGCCCUUACAUCCCGGGCUACACACGUGCUACAAUGGCAGGUACAGAGGGCUGCGAAGCCGCGAGGUGGAGCGAAUCCCAGAAAACCUGUCUCAGUCCGGAUUGAAGUCUGCAACUCGACUUCAUGAAGGCGGAAUCGCUAGUAACCGCGAAUCAGCAGGUCGCGGUGAAUACGUUCCCGGGCCUU